CUCUGUAGCUCAGUUGGUUAGAGCGCUGUACCGGAAUUGCAGGGUCGCAGGUUCGAUUCCCGAUGCAUGGAGG
This 73-nucleotide transfer RNA is filed under the name Paramuricea clavata. RNAcentral describes it as "tRNA-Ser". Lineage: Eukaryota; Metazoa; Cnidaria; Anthozoa; Malacalcyonacea; Plexauridae. The record is from RNAcentral.